RNAcentral lists this unclassified non-coding RNA (241 nucleotides) under uncultured Helotiales. RNAcentral describes it as "sequence contains ITS2". The stretch from base 1 to 52 matches the Rfam family "5.8S ribosomal RNA", at positions 103 to 154 of the family's 154-position model. The record is from RNAcentral. Lineage: Eukaryota; Fungi; Ascomycota; Leotiomycetes; Helotiales.
AACGCACAUUGCGCCCUGUGGUAUUCCGCAGGGCAUGCCUGUUCGAGCGUCAGUACAACACUCAAGCCUAGCUUGGUCUUGGGCCUCGCCGGAAACGGCGGGCCUUAAAAGUAGUGGCGGCGCCCGCUGGGCUCUAAGCGUAGUAAUACUCCUCGCUAUAGAGACCCGGUGGAUGCUGGCCAGCAACCCCCAACUUUCUAAGUUUGACCUCGGAUCAGGUAGGGAUACCCGCUGAACUUAA